UACGGGGGGGGCAAGCGUUGUUCGGAAUUACUGGGCGUAAAGGGCUCGUAGGCGGCCAACUAAGUCGGACGUGAAAUCCCUCGGCUUAACCGGGGAACUGCGUCUGAUACUGGAUGGCUUGAGUUCGGGAGAGGGAUGCGGAAUUCCAGGUGUAGCGGUGAAAUGCGUAGAUAUCUGGAGGAACACCGGUGGCGAAGGCGGCAUCCUGGACCGACACUGACGCUGAGGAGCGAAAGCCAGGGGAGCAAACAGG
This 253-nucleotide ribosomal RNA is filed under the name uncultured bacterium. RNAcentral describes it as "partial 16S ribosomal RNA". It matches the Rfam family "Bacterial small subunit ribosomal RNA", at positions 524 to 776 of the family's 1533-position model. The record is from RNAcentral.